This 28-nucleotide ribosomal RNA is filed under the name Cladosporium sp. Its description in RNAcentral is "partial 18S ribosomal RNA". RNAcentral also lists the same sequence under 2 other names. The record is from RNAcentral. Lineage: Eukaryota; Fungi; Ascomycota; Dothideomycetes; Cladosporiales; Cladosporiaceae.
UCGUAGGUGACCUGCGGAGGGAUCAUUA